RNAcentral lists this transfer RNA (65 nucleotides) under Boccardiella hamata. Its description in RNAcentral is "tRNA-Asn". The record is from RNAcentral. Lineage: Eukaryota; Metazoa; Annelida; Polychaeta; Spionida; Spionidae.
UAGGAGGAAGCCAACAUAGGCACCUGUCUGUUAAACAGGCCUUCGCUCACCUAGAGCCCUUCUAA